UCAGAUUGAACGCUGGCGGCAGGCCUAACACAUGCAAGUCGAGCGGUAGAGAGGUGCUUGCAUCUCUUGAGAGCGGCGGACGGGUGAGUAAUGCCUAGGAAUCUGCCUAGUGGUGGGGGAUAACGUUCGGAAACGGACGCUAAUACCGCAUACGUCCUACGGGAGAAAGCGGGGGACCUUCGGACCUCGCGCCAUUAGAUGAGCCUAGGUCGGAUUAGCUAGUUGGUGAGGUAAUGGCUCACCAAGGCGACGAUCCGUAACUGGUCUGAGAGGAUGAUCAGUCACACUGGAACUGAGACACGGUCCAGACUCCUACGGGAGGCAGCAGUGGGGAAUAUUGGACAAUGGGCGAAAGCCUGAUCCGGCAAUGCCGCGUGCAGGAUGAAGGCCUUCGGGUUGUAAACUGCUUUUGUACGGAACGAAACGGUGAGCUCUAAUACAGUUUGCUAAUGACGGUACCGUAAGAAUAAGCACCGGCUAACUACGUG
Molecule: ribosomal RNA, 488 nt
Filed under: uncultured bacterium
Lineage: Bacteria
Description: bacterial SSU rRNA
Rfam family: Bacterial small subunit ribosomal RNA
Source: RNAcentral